Molecule: non-coding RNA, 1022 nt
Organism: Dermacentor albipictus
Lineage: Eukaryota; Metazoa; Arthropoda; Arachnida; Ixodida; Ixodidae
Source: RefSeq, a predicted model, not a curated record
CUGGCCGUGCCUACGAAAGGAAUGAGGCCUACCUGAAACCGUGGUCGAGCGGUCGAAACAGUGCUAACCCACUCGUGCGCCUACGAAGACGUGGACCGGAAAAGUGUUUACCAUACGCGCCUUUCCUCUUUACUGUCUGAAAAAACUGCGUGCACGUUUAAAAGCUCGAUAGUGGAGAGUAACAGCCUGGCCAUACUUGGAGAGAAAACGUGCCACCCGGAUUCGACUAUGACGACGGCGCGAAUCUUGUGCGGUGGCUGCUGAAAACUGCGCGCGGGGAAUUUUAAAGCGGUUUUCUUGGCACUGGCUUACUGCUGAUUCCCUCCAUCAUCACACGGGGAUUCGGCAAUCUUACCAUCAGCUGAAAAACUGCAUCCCGGUCAUGGUCUCGACUAAGCCCCAGCUAUCGCUCCGAUGCCGAUCAACGAAUUGAUCCUUCCUCUGCAAAAGCCAAAUUCGUCUACAGCGCCACUGCCCUUCACCAAGAGUUUAAAGGUUUUCUUGGCACUGGCUUACUGCUGAUUCCCUCCAUCAUCACACGGGGAUUCGGCAAUCUUACCAUCAGCUGAAAAACUGCAUCCCGGUCAUGGUCUCGACUAAGCCCCAGCUAUCGCUCCGAUGCCGAUCAACGAAUUGAUCCUUCCUCUGCAAAAGCCAAAUUCGUCUACAGCGCCACUGCCCUUCACCAAGAGUUUAAAGGUUUUCUUGGCACUGGCUUACUGCUGAUUCCCUCCAUCAUCACACGGGGAUUCGGCAAUCUUACCAUCAGCUGAAAAACUGCAUCCCGGUCAUGGUCUCGACUAAGCCCCAGCUAUCGCUCCGAUGCCGAUCAACGAAUUGAUCCUUCCUCUGCAAAAGCCAAAUUCGUCUACAGCGCCACUGCCCUUCACCAAGAGUUUAAAGGUCUGACCGCCGCCUUGGUCAGGAGCUCCUCAGCUGCUGGGGACUGAGGGCCGUGGGCUAAUUGUGGAUAUCAUCAGGGAGGUUGUGUCCGAACACUGCGCCAGGGAGGCCAAUUCCUG